Molecule: long non-coding RNA, 510 nt
Organism: Quercus robur (English oak)
Lineage: Eukaryota; Viridiplantae; Streptophyta; Magnoliopsida; Fagales; Fagaceae
Exons: 4
Source: RefSeq, a predicted model, not a curated record
CCAAUAGAAUUAUAAAUAUUUCUGUUUGACAGGCUAUUCAAACGCUGAUCUCAAAGGGUGCUAGAUCUGGUUCCAAUCCUGUUCUUUCAACCUGCCUCUGCAUUUUCUUCCCAAACGUGAUUUUAAAUAUAGCAAAAAGAGUUCAAAGAAGAAGUAAAGCACUUCAAAAGUAUGCUUGAACAACAAGCUAUUCAAAUGGCAGAACAAAGAAGACAUUUUGAGGAACAACAAGCUAGUCAAAUGGCAGCACAAAGAGCACAUUAUGACAAUAUGAUGAUGCAAAUGGUGAGUUGUAUCACCUUGCAAUCAGCCCAAUCUAGUAGUGAUCACUAAGCAACUUGCAAGCUAAUGAGCAACGUCACAUGCUCCAUUCCUGAGUUUACUUGUGUUUCAUCUGCAAAGGUGGCUUUGCUGUUAAUUUGGGUUGCUGAUAUAAGGAAACAUGUGAAGAAUUUAGAAUUUGGGAAGGGACACGUAUAUAAAGCUGUGCAUGUAACCGAUUUUUAGGAU